ACCUACGGGGGGCAGCAGUAGGGAAUCUUCCACAAUGGACGAAAGUCUGAUGGAGCAACGCCGCGUGAGUGAAGAAGGGUUUCGGCUCGUAAAGCUCUGUUGGUAGUGAAGAAAGAUAGAGGGAGUAACUGGCCUUUAUUUGACGGUAAUUACUUAGAAAGGAAAGGCUAACUACGUGCCAGGAGCCGCGGUAAUACGAAGGGGGCAAGCGGUGUCCGGAGUUAUUGGGCGGAAAGAGAGGGCAGGCGGGUGAAAAA
RNAcentral lists this ribosomal RNA (257 nucleotides) under uncultured bacterium. RNAcentral's name for it is "partial 16S ribosomal RNA". It matches the Rfam family "Bacterial small subunit ribosomal RNA", at positions 337 to 586 of the family's 1533-position model. The record is from RNAcentral.